GGGGGGGGGGAGGGCAUCGGAGCAGGGAAUGUCAUCUGAGCAAACAAAAAACAACACAGGAGGUUAAGAAAAAAGAAGCCCGCUCAGCCUCCUUGCCAAGAAACCCAAUGAUGAUCGCAGAAGUUAACGAUCGCGCCCCGAAGCUCUGCUUUCCUGGAGGAGGGGAACCCCGCGCUCGGCAGGCCCGGCUUUGGGUUUAUGCUUCUUCCCCCCCCCCCCCCCCCCCCCCCCCGAGCGGAGCGGUCCUCAGUGAAGGCAGAGAGUUAAGUAAGAAAGCAAACCGCGGCAGAGUGCUCUCAGGCAGCGUUACUCCUCGCUUAGCAUCAGCACUAACGAGUCGUCCUCUCCCCUCGCCCGUCCGCAAAGCGAUCCAUCAUUUAUUUCCAGAUCACCUGGUGAUCUGUAACACAGAAAGAAAAAAAAAAAAAAGAGAGAGAGAGAUUAAGGAAGGAGCCGCCGACACCGCUCCAUGCGCAAUACCUAUCGGCUGAUGUAGAAAAGAAAGCAUAAUCCACAUGUAUAUUGCCUUUAACGAAAGGUAUUUCCUUCGCCUUCCCUCCCUACAGUACCGGCAUGCUUUUGCUGAGGGCUGCGUUUGCACAGUCGCCAGUAAUUACACGCGUGUGUCCGCCGGGAGAACGAAGGUUGGGAAGGUGGGAGGUAGGACGUGAUUCCUCUUUGGAGCAAUCAGGACUGGGAAAGGUUUCAUUCCGUGCAGACGAGCCGUCCAAAAGCAUGCCCAGGAGAGGUGCAGAAACCUGUUCAGUAGUUCAGGCAGCGAUGACUUCAGAGGAAACGUCCCCAUUUCCAGCAUGUUCUUCAAUGCAUGAGGAACUCUUUCCUGCCUGUAUUAAAAUCAAAUAGUUAUUUGUGCAAAGAUUGACAAUAUUGUAACCAUUUGAUUUGAAUGUCUUAAUUUGAAAAUAAC
This 928-nucleotide long non-coding RNA is filed under the name Gallus gallus (chicken). RNAcentral describes it as "lncRNA (ENSGALG00010008791.1)". The record is from RNAcentral. Lineage: Eukaryota; Metazoa; Chordata; Aves; Galliformes; Phasianidae.